GUACACUCCUACGGGAGGCAGCAGUGGGGAAUAUUGCACAAUGGGCGCAAGCCUGAUGCAGCCAUGCCGCGUGUAUGAAGAAGGCCUUCGGGUUGUAAAGUACUUUCAGCGGGGAGGAAGGCAAUACGGUUAAUAACCGUGUUGAUUGACGUUACCCGCAGAAGAAGCACCGGCUAACUCCGUGCCAGCAGCCGCGGUAAUACGGAGGGUGCAAGCGUUAAUCGGAAUUACUGGGCGUAAAGCGCACGCAGGCGGUCUGUCAAGUCGGAUGUGAAAUCCCCGGGCUCAACCUGGGAACUGCAUUCGAAACUGGCAGGCUUGAGUCUUGUAGAGGGGGGUAGAAUUCCAGGUGUAGCGGUGAAAUGCGUAGAGAUCUGGAGGAAUACCGGUGGCGAAGGCGGCCCCCUGGACAAAGACUGACGCUCAGGUGCGAAAGCGUGGGGAGCAAACAGGAUUAGAUACCCCGUUAGUCC
RNAcentral lists this ribosomal RNA (473 nucleotides) under uncultured organism. RNAcentral's name for it is "partial 16S ribosomal RNA". It matches the Rfam family "Bacterial small subunit ribosomal RNA", at positions 331 to 796 of the family's 1533-position model. The record is from RNAcentral.